CGGACGGGUGAGUAACACGUGGAUAACCUACCUAUAAGACUGGGAUAACUUCGGGAAACCGGAGCUAAUACCGGAUAAUAUAUUGAACCGCAUGGUUCAAUAGUGAAAGACGGUUUUGCUGUCACUUAUAGAUGGAUCCGCGCCGCAUUAGCUAGUUGGUAAGGUAACGGCUUACCAAGGCAGCGAUGCGUAGCCGACCUGAGAGGGUGAUCGGCCACACUGGAACUGAGACACGGUCCAGACUCCUACGGGAGGCAGCAGUA
This 263-nucleotide ribosomal RNA is filed under the name uncultured Staphylococcus sp. RNAcentral's name for it is "partial 16S ribosomal RNA". It matches the Rfam family "Bacterial small subunit ribosomal RNA", at positions 99 to 355 of the family's 1533-position model. The record is from RNAcentral. Lineage: Bacteria; Bacillati; Bacillota; Bacilli; Caryophanales; Staphylococcaceae.